RNAcentral lists this ribosomal RNA (427 nucleotides) under uncultured bacterium. RNAcentral's name for it is "partial 16S ribosomal RNA". It matches the Rfam family "Bacterial small subunit ribosomal RNA", at positions 355 to 774 of the family's 1533-position model. The record is from RNAcentral.
UAGGGAAUCUUCCGCAAUGGGCGAAAGCCUGACGGAGCAACGCCGCGUGAGUGAUGAAGGUCUUAGGAUCGUAAAACUCUGUUAUUAGGGAAGAACAAACGUGUAAGUAACUGUGCACGUCUUGACGGUACCUAAUCAGAAAGCCACGGCUAACUACGUGCCAGCAGCCGCGGUAAUACGUAGGUGGCAAGCGUUAUCCGGAAUUAUUGGGCGUAAAGCGCGCGUAGGCGGUUUUUUAAGUCUGAUGUGAAAGCCCACGGCUCAACCGUGGAGGGUCAUUGGAAACUGGAAAACUUGAGUGCAGAAGAGGAAAGUGGAAUUCCAUGUGUAGCGGUGAAAUGCGCAGAGAUAUGGAGGAACACCAGUGGCGAAGGCGACUAUCUGGUCUGUAACUGACGCUGAUGUGCGAAAGCGUGGGGAUCAAACA